GUGACGCUGGCGGCAUGGUUAAGACAUGCAAGUCGAACGAGAAGCAGGUCUUCGGACCUGUGGAAAGUGGCGAACGGGUGCGUAACACGUGAGCAACCUGCCCUCGAGUGCGGGAUAGCCCACCGAAAGGUGGAUUAAUACCGCAUGUGGCCUCUUGCUGCAUGGCAAGAUGGCUAAAGCUCGAAAUGGUGCUAGAGGAGGGGCUCGCGGCCUAUCAGCUUGUUGGUGAGGUAAAGGCUCACCAAGGCUAUGACGGGUAGCUGGUCUGAGAGGAUGGCCAGUCACACCGGGACUGAGACACGGCCCGGACACCUACGGGUGGCAGCAGUUUCGAAUCAUUCACAAUGGGCGAAAGCCUGAUGGUGCAAUGCCGCGUGGAGGAAGACGGCCCUAGGGUUGUAAACUCCUGUCAUUGGGGAACAACAAGCGGGUUCGUAGCCCGCCCUGAGUUAACCCAAAGAGGAAGAGGUGGCUAACUCCGUGCCAGCAGCCGCGGUAAUACGGAGACCUCGAGCGUUACUCGGAUUCACUGGGCGUAAAGGGUGAGUAGGCGGCCAAGUGUGUCAGGUGUGAAAUCCCGGGGCUCAACCCCGGAACUGCGCCUGAAACUACUUGGCUAGAGUCUCGGAGAGGAUAGUGGAAUUCCGGGUGUAGCGGUGAAAUGCGUAGAUAUCCGGAGGAACACCAGAGGCGAAGGCGACUAUCUGGACGAGAACUGACGCUGAGUCACGAAAGCGUGGGUAGCGAAAGGGAUUAGAUACCCCUGUAGUCCACGCCGUAAACGUUGCGCACUAGGUUUCGGGGGAAUCAACCCCUUCGGAGCCCAAGCUAACGCGUUAAGUGCGCCGCCUGAGGACUACGGCCGCAAGGCUAAAAC
Molecule: ribosomal RNA, 877 nt
Filed under: Verrucomicrobia bacterium SCGC AAA240-J08
Lineage: Bacteria; Pseudomonadati; Verrucomicrobiota
Description: SSU rRNA
Rfam family: Bacterial small subunit ribosomal RNA
Source: RNAcentral